UACGAAGGGGGCUAGCGUUGUUCGGAAUCACUGGGCGUAAAGCGCACGUAGGCGGAUUGUUAAGUCGGGGGUGAAAUCCUGGAGCUCAACUCCAGAACUGCCUUCGAUACUGAAGAGCUUGAGUCCGGGAGAGGUGAGUGGAACUGCGAGUGUAGAGGUGAAAUUCGUAGAUAUUCGCAAGAACACCAGUGGCGAAGGCGGCUCACUGGCCCGGUACUGACGCUGAGGUGCGAAAGCGUGGGGAGCAAACAGG
RNAcentral lists this ribosomal RNA (253 nucleotides) under uncultured bacterium. RNAcentral's name for it is "partial 16S ribosomal RNA". It matches the Rfam family "Bacterial small subunit ribosomal RNA", at positions 524 to 776 of the family's 1533-position model. The record is from RNAcentral.